Unclassified non-coding RNA from Cercocebus atys (sooty mangabey), 322 nucleotides. Its record names the gene 7SK. It matches the Rfam family "7SK RNA". From Rfam's summary of the family: 7SK was discovered as an abundant small nuclear RNA in the mid-70s but a possible function has only recently been suggested. Two independent studies have found that 7SK RNA binds the CDK9/cyclin T complex (known as elongation factor P-TEFb). The record is from Ensembl. Lineage: Eukaryota; Metazoa; Chordata; Mammalia; Primates; Cercopithecidae.
GGGUGUGAGAGCACUUUGACUGGGAUGUUUAUACUUUGAUGCCAAGGCUGAUUCUGCUGACCCGGAAGAGUACAUGGGCUUGCUAUUUCUCCACUUCUCCAGGCCUGUUGCUCUCAUUCCUGUGUACUUAGGUGGCAAAAAUCAUGAGCUUCCCAGAGAGAGGUGAACCAGCCUGCAUUCAAGGGAAGAUGUAGUACCAUGCCUCUCUAGCAGAACCUACAGAUGAGCUCUCAGUAGAAAAGGAUAUCCUAGCCAAGGGAAGUCUAGGGCUGUACAAACUAAAAGAAAGGAAAUAAAACACACAUGAAUUUUACUUCUUUUU